Molecule: ribosomal RNA, 352 nt
Filed under: uncultured bacterium
Lineage: Bacteria
Description: bacterial SSU rRNA
Rfam family: Bacterial small subunit ribosomal RNA
Source: RNAcentral
UUAACUACCGCAUACCGUCCGUUAAGGGGAAAGCGGGGGAUCUUCGGACCUCGCGCUAUUGGAGCGGCCGAUGUCGGAUUAGCUAGUAGGUGAGGUAAAGGCUCACCUAGGCGACGAUCCGUAGCUGGUCUGAGAGGAUGAUCAGCCACACUGGGACUGAGACACGGCCCAGACUCCUACGGGAGGCAGCAGUGGGGAAUUUUGGACAAUGGGCGCAAGCCUGAUCCAGCCAUGCCGCGUGAGUGAAGAAGGCCUUCGGGUUGUAAAGCUCUUUCAGGUGGAAAGAAAUAGCGCUGUUUAAUAGAUGGCGUUGAUGACGGUACCACCAGAAGAAGCACCGGCUAACUACGUG